RNAcentral lists this ribosomal RNA (253 nucleotides) under uncultured bacterium. Its description in RNAcentral is "partial 16S ribosomal RNA". It matches the Rfam family "Bacterial small subunit ribosomal RNA", at positions 524 to 776 of the family's 1533-position model. The record is from RNAcentral.
UACGUAGGGGGCAAGCGUUGUCCGGAAUCAUUGGGCGUAAAGAGCGUGUAGGCGGCUCGGUAAGUCCGCUGUGAAAGUCCAGGGCUCAACCCUGGAAUGCCGGUGGAAACUGUCGAGCUAGAGUCCGGAAGAGGCGAGUGGAAUUCCUGGUGUAGCGGUGAAAUGCGCAGAUAUCAGGAGGAACACCAAUGGCGAAGGCAGCUUGCUAAACAAACAUUGACGCUGAGGCACGAAAGCGUGGGGAUCAAACAGG